Molecule: ribosomal RNA, 440 nt
Filed under: uncultured bacterium
Lineage: Bacteria
Description: partial 16S ribosomal RNA
Rfam family: Bacterial small subunit ribosomal RNA
Source: RNAcentral
CCUACGGGUGGCAGCAGUGGGGAAUAUUGGACAAUGGGGGAAACCCUGAUCCAGCGACGCCGCGUGAGGGAAUAAGUAUUUCGGUAUGUUAAGCUCUAUCAGCGUGAAAGAAAAUGACGGUACCUGACUAAGAAGCCCCGGCGAACUACGAGCCAGCAGCCGCGGUAAUACGUAGGGGGCAAGCGUUAUCCGGAUUUACUGGGUGUAAAGGGAGCGUAGACGGCAGCGCAAGUCUGGAUUGAAAUGCCGGGGCACAACCCCGGAACUGCUCUGGAAACUGUGAAGCUGGAGUGCAGGAGGGGGAAGCGGAAUUCCUGGUGUAGCGGUGAAAUGCGUAGAUAUCGGGAGGAACACCGGCGGCGAAGGCGGCUUACUGGACUGUAACUGACGUUGAGGCUCGAAGGCGUGGGGAGCAAACAGGAUUAGAUACCCCAGUAGUC